AACGAACGCUGGCGGCAGGCUUAACACAUGCAAGUCGAGCGUCCUCGCAAGGGGGCGCGGCAGACGGGUGCGUAACGCGUGGGAACAUACCUCUCGGUUCGGAAUAACCCAGGGAAACUUGGGACAAUACCGGAUACGUGCGAAAGCAGAAAGAUUCAUCGCCGAGAGAUUGGCCCGCGUCCGAUUAGCUGGUUGGUGAGGUAACGGCUCACCAAGGCGACGAUCGGUAGCUGGUCUGAGAGGAUGAUCAGCCACACUGGGACUGAGACACGGCCCAGACUCCUACGGGAGGCAGCAGUGGGGAAUAUUGGACAAUGGGCGCAAGCCUGAUCCAGCCAUGCCGCGUGAGUGAUGAAGGCCCUAGGGUUGUAAAGCUCUUUCGCCAGGGACGAUAAUGACGGUACCUGGAUAAGAAGCCCCGGCUAACUUCGUG
This 433-nucleotide ribosomal RNA is filed under the name uncultured bacterium. RNAcentral describes it as "bacterial SSU rRNA". It matches the Rfam family "Bacterial small subunit ribosomal RNA", at positions 29 to 507 of the family's 1533-position model. The record is from RNAcentral.